Molecule: long non-coding RNA, 664 nt
Filed under: Setaria viridis
Lineage: Eukaryota; Viridiplantae; Streptophyta; Magnoliopsida; Poales; Poaceae
Description: long non-coding RNA (SVIR_LNC003970)
Source: RNAcentral
CUGCUGCUUUUCUCCAUCCGCGUCGACCUCGCCGACCCCGAUCUCGCCGCCGGACUCCAGGCUCUGGUCCGCGCGAACCACGACGCCGCCGCCGCAGCAGCAGCAGCACCGCCCUCGCCGGCGCCGCCGCCUCAGCGGCGGCCCGCGGCGCCCUGGGUCCGGCCACGCUGGGCGGAGAGGGAGAGCGCGCGCAGCCUGCUGCCGCCACCGAUCUCGUCGCUGCGGCGGCGGCCGGCGCUGGUGCGCACGCGCACGGGCGACGGGCGCCUCGUUAUCACGCACCGCGGCGAAGGGUCGGUCGGGCGCGGCGGCCUCGUCUGCACGCGGCGGCGCGAGGGGGAGGGCCAGGGCCAGGGCCACCUCACCAUGCGCCUCCUCUAGCGCGACGACCUCCACCUCCCACGACCUGACACGGCUUAGGAUGGUGUUAGUGUGCGCUGUGCUGCGUGUGGCUCUGAGCAAGAUUAUCAUGCUGGAAAUAAACUGAUAUUUCGAACAAACCAUUUGUUACGGCCCAACCUAUGAGUCAUUUUUAUGGUUACUGCGAUGGAUCAGUUAACAAAUACUGAAAUGAUACUCGAUACUCGAGUCGAGCACAGUAGCAUGAUCAACUGAAUCGAGCAUUCAGUGACAAUCGGUCCGCAUUCUCACACGAGAACAAACA